CAGUCGCCGCGGUAAUACGGAGGGAGCUAGCGUUGUUCGGAAUUACUGGGCGUAAAGCGCACGUAGGCGGCUUUGUAAGUUAGAGGUGAGAGCCUGGAGCUCAACUCCAGAAUUGCCUUUAAGACUGCAUCGCUUGAAUCCAGGAGAGGUGAGUGGAAUUCCGAGUGUAGAGGUGAAAUUCGUAGAUAUUCGGAGGAACACCAGUGGCGAAGGCGGCCCACUGGACCAUUACUGACGCUGAGGUGCGAAAGCGUGGGGAGCAAACAGGAUUAGAGACCCCUGUAGUCCCUGUCUCUUAUAC
RNAcentral lists this ribosomal RNA (301 nucleotides) under uncultured bacterium. RNAcentral's name for it is "partial 16S ribosomal RNA". It matches the Rfam family "Bacterial small subunit ribosomal RNA", at positions 509 to 807 of the family's 1533-position model. The record is from RNAcentral.